AUGGUGUUGAUCCGGUCCUUGCUGCUGGAUCCGGCCCUCUCCACUCCUCCUCUCGGUCCGAUCCAAUGGAGACCACACGACGUCGACCUCCCGGAUGGCGUGAGGUCCCAGUGGCAACGUCAGGCCCCUUGCGGUUGGGGUCGAUUUGAGGUGGCUCUGGUGGAAACAUGGACCACGUCACACUGUUACAGGGGCUCCCGAGGCGACAUCCAGUUGCUCCGUGCGCGGGGAUUAUUUUCACCUCUGUUUACUGUUGCGUUUAUUUUGCAGGCCAAAAACAGUGGGCAACCUCGACGUCGUCGUCACUUCGAGCGCGGCGAGAUCCUCGAGGUCGUCGUCAUCACAGACAAGGGCACUGGCAGAUCCAAUGGCGGCGGAUUCGAGGCGGAGGCGGCCAUUAGGGCAUGCUUGAGUCCGUACCCGAUGAUUGGUGGCCGAAGGGCAACUGCAACCUCGCAUGCCUCGGGUCCAGAGGUCCAAGGCACCACAACCAACUGCUCUUCAGACAUAUGA
This 513-nucleotide ribosomal RNA is filed under the name Triticum aestivum (bread wheat). Its description in RNAcentral is "partial small subunit ribosomal RNA". Lineage: Eukaryota; Viridiplantae; Streptophyta; Magnoliopsida; Poales; Poaceae. The record is from RNAcentral.